AGGACGAACGCUGGCGGCGUGCUUAACACAUGCAAGUCGAGCGGAAAGGCCCUUCGGGGUACUCGAGCGGCGAACGGGUGAGUAACACGUGAGUAAUCUGCCCCUAGCUCUGGGAUAGCUCCGGGAAACCGGGAUUAAUACCAGAUACGACCACUUUAGACAUCUUCUGUGGUGGAAAGAACUUCGGCUAGGGAUGAACUCGCGGCCUAUCAGCUUGUUGGUGAGGUAACGGCUCACCAAGGCGACGACGGGUAGCCGGCCUGAGAGGGCGACCGGCCACACUGGGACUGAGACACGGCCCAGACUCCUACGGGAGGCAGCAGUGGGGAAUAUUGCGCAAUGGGCGAAAGCCUGACGCAGCGACGCCGCGUGGGGGAUGAAGGCUUCGGGUUGUAACCCUUUCAGCAGGGACGAAGCGAAAGUGACGGUACCUGCAGAAGAAGCGCCGGCUAACUACGUGCCAGCAGCCGC
Molecule: ribosomal RNA, 471 nt
Filed under: uncultured bacterium
Lineage: Bacteria
Description: SSU rRNA
Rfam family: Bacterial small subunit ribosomal RNA
Source: RNAcentral